Molecule: long non-coding RNA, 290 nt
Filed under: Nicotiana benthamiana
Lineage: Eukaryota; Viridiplantae; Streptophyta; Magnoliopsida; Solanales; Solanaceae
Description: long non-coding RNA (NBEN_LNC010219)
Source: RNAcentral
AUGGUUACUUUGGUCCACCAUUAAAGGCACUUGAGUAUAUAUGGCCACGCCACUAUUAAAGCUAAAUGAUGACCAUUAUUAAAGUAAACUAUAUUUUUCUUAAUAAUUGAUACAUGGCCCAUAUACAUUAUGGAUUCAGAUUUUACAUGAUCAACAUGUAAAUUUUAAGUUAAGAUUCAUCAUAUUGCUAAAGGAACUAAAGUAUUUAGCAUCUAAUAUUUUAAAUUAGUCAAUUGAAGCAUUAUGUUGCCAAAGUAACCUCUAUUGUGUAGAUUGAUUGAUCUUGAAAN